This 495-nucleotide ribosomal RNA is filed under the name Triticum aestivum (bread wheat). Its description in RNAcentral is "partial small subunit ribosomal RNA". The record is from RNAcentral. Lineage: Eukaryota; Viridiplantae; Streptophyta; Magnoliopsida; Poales; Poaceae.
AUGCCGGCGGGCCACGGUCUGCGGUCGCGGACGCGCGACCUGUUCGCGCGCCCGUUCCGGAAGAAGGGUUACAUCCCGCUCACCACCUACCUGCGCACCUACAAGGUCGGCGAGUACGUCGACGUCAAGGUGAACGGCGCCGUGCACAAGGGUAUGCCGCACAAGUUCUACCACGGCCGCACCGGACGCGUGUGGAACGUCACCAAGCGCGCCAUCGGCGUCGAGAUCAACAAGCAGGUUGGAAACCGCAUUAUCAGGAAAAGGAUCCAUGUCCGUGUUGAGCAUGUGCAGCCAUCCAGGUGUGCUGAGGAGUUCCGCCUGAGGAAAGUGAAGAACGACCAGCUCAAGGCGGAAGCCAAGGCGCGCGGUGAGGUCAUCAGCACCAAGAGGCAGCCACUCGGCCCUAAACCUGGGUUCAUGGUCGAGGGUACCACAAUUGAGACCGUCACUCCCAUUCCCUACGAUGUGGUCAAUGAUCUCAAGGGUGGUUACUAG